RNAcentral lists this long non-coding RNA (581 nucleotides) under Felis catus (domestic cat). RNAcentral describes it as "lncRNA (ENSFCAG00000050954.1)". Lineage: Eukaryota; Metazoa; Chordata; Mammalia; Carnivora; Felidae. The record is from RNAcentral.
AUGUGUGUGCGCGCACACACACACACACACACACACACACCCAGCUCUCAAGUCCUUGUAGGACCAUGUCCACCCCAUCCACCCCCCAAGCCUCUUCUCCACCCAGGCCUAGUUCCACAGGCCCUCCCCUCCCCCAUUUCCUGGGGUGUCCCCAGAGGCCCCUCCUACCCAAGGAUGGAUCUGAAGGUCGGUUCUGGAAAGGAACCUGGGGAAACAACUUCAGGAGGAGACGGAUGUCCGGCAUACUUAGAAAAUACAGAUUUUUGUACCGUGUGUCCCUCGCGUGCAUCGCUCGUGCGUGAGAAACAGAGUGGCUAAAUUGUCCUCCUAACCGCAGAGUCUGACCCCGGGCUGGCUGACAGUGACGAGCCCGAGCUACCAUGGUGAGGUCCUGCCGGAGAGACCCCCGUGGAGAUGAGCCUGAAGCCACCUUAGGACCUUCAAGCCCUAACUGACCUCCAGCUGACUGCAGCCACGAGCGACCCCAGCUACAUGGGAGCAGAAGAAACAGCUGAGCUCAGCCAACGCACGGACCUGUGGGAAAUAAUAAAGCAUUGUGUUUUUUUUAAUGUUUUGAGAGA